Molecule: ribosomal RNA, 500 nt
Filed under: uncultured bacterium
Lineage: Bacteria
Description: partial 16S ribosomal RNA
Rfam family: Bacterial small subunit ribosomal RNA
Source: RNAcentral
AUUGAACGCUGGCGGAAUGCUUUACACAUGCAAGUCGAACGGCAGCACGGACUUCGGUCUGGUGGCGAGUGGCGAACGGGUGAGUAAUGUAUCGGAACGUGCCCAGUCGUGGGGGAUAACGUAGUGAAAAUUACGCUAAUACCGCAUACGAUCUAUGGAUGAAAGCGGGGGAUCGCAAGACCUCGCGCGAUUGGAGCGGCCGAUAUCAGAUUAGGUAGUUGGUGGGGUAAAGGCCCACCAAGCCAACGAUCUGUACCUGGUCUGAGAGGACGACCAGCCACACGGGAACUGAGACACGGUCCAGACUCCUACGGGAGGCAGCAGUGGGGAAUUUUGGACAAUGGGCGAAGGCCUGAUCCAGCCAUUCCGCGUGCAGGAUGAAGGCCCUCGGGUUGUAAACUGCUUUUGCACAGAACGAAAAGGUUUCUACUAAUACUAGGAGCUCAUGACGGUACUGUAAGAAUAAGCACCGGCUAACUACGUGCCAGCAGCCGCCGUAA